RNAcentral lists this ribosomal RNA (253 nucleotides) under uncultured bacterium. Its description in RNAcentral is "partial 16S ribosomal RNA". It matches the Rfam family "Bacterial small subunit ribosomal RNA", at positions 524 to 776 of the family's 1533-position model. The record is from RNAcentral.
GACGUAGGGGACGAGCGUUGUCCGGAUUUAUUGGGCGUAAAGAGCGUGUAGGCGGCCAGGUAGGUCCGUUGUGAAAACUCGAGGCUCAACCUCGAGACGCCGAUGGAAACCCCCUGGCUAGAGUCCGGAAGAGGAGAGUGGAAUUCCUGGUGUAGCGGCGAAAUGCGCAGAUAUCAGGAAGAGCACCCGUGGCUGAGGCGGCUCUCUAGUACGGUACUGACGCUGAGACGCGAAAGCGUGGGGAGCGAACAGG